RNA transcript from Juglans regia (Persian walnut), 2315 nucleotides. It is a transcript of the gene named la-related protein 1C-like, with no coding region annotated. Lineage: Eukaryota; Viridiplantae; Streptophyta; Magnoliopsida; Fagales; Juglandaceae. The record is from RefSeq and is a predicted model, not a curated record. The transcript is spliced from 7 exons.
GGUUUGGGUAGUGUGAGGAAGAAAGAAAGAGGGUUUCCACAGAUUUCGGCAAUCGACAUUGCAGAGCUUUUGAGAAAACAAACACCCCGCACCCGCUGCCUCUUCAAUUCUCUCUCUAUCUCUCAAGCUUUUGGGAAUAUUUUUUAUUAAUUUAUUCCCGUUUUGCCACCAUCAUUCCUUGUCGAUCAACUCGUCGACUCCCACAGUCACACCUUCCUAAACCCUACUUUUUAUUUGUUUAUUUUUUUUUCUAUAUUUAAUUCAUGGCUACGAGUAGUAGUGCUAACGGCAAUCCCGCGUCGUCGUCGUCGCCGACGCCUCCGUGGACGCAAAUUGUCCGGGGCGAAUCUGAGCCGAUCGUCGCUGCUCCUUCUUCACCCUCGAGUACGACGACGCACGUGAUGUCUUCUUCAUCGACGCCUGCGAUUGAUCCGGCUGUCCCGUCGGUGACGGUGGAGGAAUCGAUGUGGGAGGGGUCGGAGAGUGGACCGAAUGGCAAUGCGGGGAAGAGGCAGGCCUGGAACAAGCCGUCGAAUGGGCCAGUCGCGGAGGUUGGUCCGGUCAUGGGUGCGGUCUCUUGGCCCGCUUUAUCGGAGUCCACUCGGGCUUCGCCGAAACCGUCUUCCGAAUCGUUGAAAGCCUUGUCCGAUAUCGGAUCACCUGUCGCCGUAUUACAGGGGACUGGAACAACAUCUUCUUCCUCUUCACAUAAACAAGUCGGUAAUAAUGCGAAUCCUAAUCCAACAUCAAACCAUAGCAUAACCACGCGCCAGAGAUCCAUGAGGCGUAAUAAUGCAAGCACAUCCUCUAAUGGUGGCCUCCCUCAGCAGCAGCUAGCACCACCAGGUGCAGUGGUUGAAAUGGGUCCAAAUAACCCUUCACCUAAGGAUCACACACAAAGAAGUGGGUUUGCAUCACAAUCCCAUGGUGGUAAUGAUCAUCCACCGCAUCGUAACUCAUUUAGGAACCGCAAUGGUGGCUCACAUCCACGUGGAGAUGGUUCUCACCAUCACAAUUAUGGAGGCAGCCGUGGAAAUCAAGAUUGGAAUGCUCAUAGGAACUUUUCUGGUAGGGACAACCACAUGCAACCACAGAGAGGUGCUCCUAGGUUUAUUAGGCCUCCACCACCACCGCCUCUGAGUUCCACCCCAUUUAUUCCCCCACCACCUGUGCGGCCUUUUGCUAGUCCCAUUGGUUUCCCUGAACUGCCGCCUCCAAUGGUAUAUGUUGCAGCUCCACCUCCUGACUCACUCAGAGGCAUGCCUUUUGUUCCACCAAUGCUGCCUCAUCCAUUCUAUUAUCCUCCUGCGGACCCUCAUUUGCCUGCUAAGAUAGUGAAGCAGAUAGAAUAUUAUUUCAGUGGUGAGAAUUUGAUUAAAGAUACAUACUUGCGGCAGAACAUGGAUGAUCAGGGCUGGGUUCCUAUUACAUUGAUAGCACGCUUCAAACAAGUUGUGCUCUUGUCAGACAAUAUACAGUUUAUACUGGAUUCUGUGCGAACUUCUAGUAUUCUGGAAGUGCAGGGUGACAAAAUAAGAAGGCGCAAUGAUUGGAUGAGAUGGAUAAUAUCACCGUCAGUUCAUUUUCCUAAUGCUUCAGGCCAACAGAUCUUUGGACAGCCCAGUUAUGAUUUGCUGGAAGCUCGUGUCCAAAGCAUGGCACUGGAGGAGAGGACUACUAACCACCACACUACUGGGGGCCAAGCUGAUCCUCAUGGAGCAGCACUUGAGAAUGAGUUACCAUCUGAGGACUUGAGCAGCCCGUCGCAGCUGUCAGGCGGAAGGAAAACAGAUCAAAGCCAGUUCUGAUCACUCUAUUUCAGCAAGAAAUUAGAGAAAGAGAUGUGCGAGUUUGCACAUUUUUUUAAAAGAACUAAUUUCAGAAGAAAAGAAUGGGGGGUUGGGGGGGAGAUGACAAUGGUGAAGAUCUUGCAUUUUCUUGAAGAUAGUGGUCUUGCCGUGAUCACCUCCCACUUUCAGGAGGUUUUACAUACGACUCUGAGAGUGAUGGAACUGCUUGGUGGAUUUACGUCUGCCUAUCGGGAGGGGAAAGGAGUUAGGUGGGUUUUGCUGGAUGCCACAGCUCGUGCGCCACGACUGCUAUAUUAUCUAUUUUCGUUCUAGUUUUCCUUUGUUUUCUGGAUUUUUCUCUUGUCACAUAUACCAUAAUUAAAAUUACUUUUUAUAUAUCUUUGUUUCUUCAAACCUCUUGAACAACUUGCUGCUUAAACAUCCUUUGGAUUAUCCAGGUUGGGACUGGAUUUGGUUGGUGUGGUAUUCACUAUUCAUGUUAAUGUAAACUCUGGAGCCCUUGGA